Molecule: unclassified non-coding RNA, 334 nt
Filed under: uncultured fungus
Lineage: Eukaryota; Fungi
Description: partial contains 5.8S ribosomal RNA and internal transcribed spacer 2
Rfam family: 5.8S ribosomal RNA (bases 1-133)
Source: RNAcentral
UGGCUUUGGCAUCGAUGAAGAACGCAGCAAAAUGCGAUAAGUAGUGUGAAUUGCAGAAUUCAGUGAAUCAUCGAAUCUUUGAACGCACAUUGCGCCCGCCAGCACUCUGGCGGGCAUGCCUGCCUGAGCGUCAUCUCAACCCUCCGGGCUCCUCGGGGCCCUGGCGCUGGGGAUCAGCCCCCCCGGGGGCUGGCCCUGAAAUCCAGCGGCGGCUCCCCAACGGCCCCCCUCUGCGCAGUAGCGAUACCUCGCAGCCUGGGCGGCGUGGGGUCGCGCCGUAAAACGCCCCAGAAUGGACAAGGUUGACCUCAGGUCAGGCAGGACUACCCGCUGA